UACGGAGGAUGCGAGCGUUAUCCGGAUUUAUUGGGUUUAAAGGGUGCGUAGGCGGCGAGUUAAGUCAGCGGUAAAAGCCCGGGGCUCAACCCCGGCCCGCCGUUGAAACUGGCUGGCUUGAGUUGGGGAAAGGCAGGCGGAAUGCGCGGUGUAGCGGUGAAAUGCAUAGAUAUCGCGCAGAACCCCGAUUGCGAAGGCAGCCUGCUGGCCCCACACUGACGCUGAGGCAUGAAAGCGUGGGUAUCGAACAGG
This 252-nucleotide ribosomal RNA is filed under the name uncultured bacterium. RNAcentral describes it as "partial 16S ribosomal RNA". It matches the Rfam family "Bacterial small subunit ribosomal RNA", at positions 524 to 776 of the family's 1533-position model. The record is from RNAcentral.